UACGGGAGGCAGCAGCUAAGAAUAUUCCGCAAUGGACGAAAGUCUGACGGAGCGACGCCGCGUGGAUGAUGAAGGCCGGAAGGUUGUAAAAUCCUUUUAUGACUGAGGAAUAAGUUCUCUGAGAGAAACGGAGGAUGGUGACUGUAGGUCAUGAAUAAGCAACGGCUAAUUACGUGCCAGCAGCCGCGGUAAU
This 193-nucleotide ribosomal RNA is filed under the name uncultured rumen bacterium. RNAcentral describes it as "partial 16S ribosomal RNA". It matches the Rfam family "Bacterial small subunit ribosomal RNA", at positions 340 to 524 of the family's 1533-position model. The record is from RNAcentral.